This 368-nucleotide long non-coding RNA is filed under the name Papio anubis (olive baboon). Its description in RNAcentral is "lncRNA (ENSPANG00000044798.1)". Lineage: Eukaryota; Metazoa; Chordata; Mammalia; Primates; Cercopithecidae. The record is from RNAcentral.
CCGACUUUCGGGUUUUCUUGCCUUUUUUCUCUCAGAGUUGAGCCCCUACCCGGGCCCUUUAGUCCCUCGGUCACGAGGAACGGUGGAGUUUAGAACCUGCGAUGGAACUUACCAGAGACCAGAUAGCUAGAGAAUGGCUGAACUGGGUUUUGAAUCUAGUCAAUCUUGACCCCAGAGCUCUCCAGCCUAAAGGAGAGAACUCAGCUGAACACCUACUUCCUUCCCUACCAACUCAGCAGUUCUCAGAAAGGAAAUGGCAACCAUAUGCUUUCUCAUUAACCAAAACAAAAGGCAGCCUUGAGAAACAAGAUGUUCUGGACAAUACAGAAACCCUUCGGCCCAGGCUAGUUGGUUUCAGCUACCGCUAA